RNAcentral lists this ribosomal RNA (781 nucleotides) under uncultured Neocallimastigales. RNAcentral describes it as "partial large subunit ribosomal RNA". It matches the Rfam family "Eukaryotic large subunit ribosomal RNA", at positions 23 to 638 of the family's 3401-position model. Lineage: Eukaryota; Fungi; Neocallimastigomycota; Neocallimastigomycetes; Neocallimastigales. The record is from RNAcentral.
GAGACUCUGUGCGCGUGCAUAUCAAUAAGCGGAGGAAAAGAAACUAACAAGGAUUCCCCUAGUAACGGCGAGUGAAGCGGGAAGAGCUCAAAUUUGAAAUCUUAAAGGGUUUCCCUUUACGAAUUGUAGUUUAAAGAAGUGUUUUCUGUUGGAGUUUCGGUAAAAGUUCUUUGGAAUAGGACAUCAUAGAGGGUGAGAAUCCCGUAUUUGACCGUUACUUUUCAGCUGUGUGAUACACUUUCAAAGAGUCGGAUUGUUUGGGAAUGCAGUCCAAGAUGGGUGGUAAAUUUCAUCUAAAGCUAAAUAUUGGCGAGAGACCGAUAGCGAACAAGUACCGUGAGGGAAAGAUGAAAAGAACUUUGAAAAGAGAGUUAAACAGUACGUGAAAUUGUCAAAAGGGAAGCGUUUGACACCAGUGUUGUUUAGUUGAAAAUCAAUUCAAUAGUUUUUGAUUUUGAAGUAGUAUUGACUUCAUCAGCUUGCUGCUUUCUUUUCCGAAAUUAUUGAAUGCACUUUUCAGUUAACAAGUCAACAUCAAUUUCUUUUGUUGUAAAGGGUAAGAGGAAGGUGGCUUACGCUUCGGCGUCAAGUGUUUAUAGCCUUUGUACCUCUGCAAUCGGAGAGAUUGAGGUACUAGCAGCGUAGACUCCUUCGGGGUUAGAUACACUUGUGCUAAGCUAUAGCCUUGUAUAGACAACUUGUUGACUAUGCUCAGUCAUGUAGCUUACUCGCUUGAUGCUAUUUUACCUACGCUUAGGAUGUUGACAGCAGUAUAGACUGU